Pantoea stewartii subsp. stewartii DC283 is the source of this 126-nucleotide non-coding RNA. NCBI's taxonomy places the organism in Bacteria, Pseudomonadati, Pseudomonadota, Gammaproteobacteria, Enterobacterales, Erwiniaceae. The record is from Rfam.
AACCCCCUGAUUCUGUCUUCAACUUUGGCGGGCUGGAUUCAGAAAUCAGGGGGUCAAAAGCAGGCACAGGCCUGUGAAGGAUUAUAUCGCAUGCAUUUCAUAAGACAACCCCUGUCCGCCAUAAGU